GAUGAAGAACGCAGCGAAAUGCGAUAAGUAAUGUGAAUUGCAGAAUUCAGUGAAUCAUCGAAUCUUUGAACGCACAUUGCGCCCGCUAGUAUUCUGGCGGGCAUGCCUGUUCGAGCGUCAUUUCAACCAUCAAGCCCUGUUUAGGCUUGUGUUGGGGCCCUGCGGUUGCCGCAGCCCCCUAAAUGCAGUGGCGGGCUCGUUGUCACUCCGAGCGCAGUAGCGUAUCUCGCUCUGGGCGUGGCGGCGGGUGCUAGCCGUGAAACACCCACUAAGGUCGACCUCGGAUCAGGUAGGAAUACCCGCUGAACUUAAGCAUAUCAAUAAGCGGAGGA
This 332-nucleotide unclassified non-coding RNA is filed under the name soil metagenome. RNAcentral's name for it is "partial contains 5.8S ribosomal RNA, internal transcribed spacer 2, and large subunit ribosomal RNA". The stretch from base 1 to 120 matches the Rfam family "5.8S ribosomal RNA", at positions 35 to 154 of the family's 154-position model. The record is from RNAcentral.